Molecule: small RNA, 3505 nt
Filed under: Pan troglodytes (chimpanzee)
Lineage: Eukaryota; Metazoa; Chordata; Mammalia; Primates; Hominidae
Description: processed transcript
Source: RNAcentral
UGUUCACAACAGCGAAGACUUGGAACCAACCCAAAUGUCCAACAAUGACAGACUGGAUUAAGAAAAUGUGGCACAUAUACACCAUGGAAUACUAUGCAGCCAUAAAAAAGGAUAAGUUCAUGUCCUUUGUAGGGACAUGGAUGAAGCUGGAAACCAUCAUUCUCAGCACUCUUAACACAGGAACAGAAAACCAAAUGCUGCAUGUUCUCACUCAUAAGUGGUAUAUUUACUUCUGGCACAUGGGAAGAGAAAUCAGAUGAAAUUUCCUUUGCUGACUUCAAGUUCUCAGUCACUCAUCAUUAUCUUGUACAAGAGUCCACUGAUAAAGAAGGAAAGGAUGAGUUAUUAGAGGAUGUUAUUCCACAAUCUAUGCAAGAUUUGCUGGGUAUGAAUAAUGACUUUCCUCCAAGAGCACAUUGCCUGGUAAGAUGGUAUGGGCUACGUGAGUUCGUGGUGAUUGCCCCUGCUGCACACAGUGACGCUGUUCUCAGCGAAUCUAAGUGCAACCUUCUUCUGAGUUCUGUUUCUAUUGCCUUGGGAAACACUGGCUGUCAGGUGCCACUCUUUGUGCAAAUUCACCACAAAUGGCGAAGAAUGUACGUAGGAGAAUGUCAAGGUCCUGGUGUACGAACUGAUUUCGAAAUGGUUCAUCUUAGAAAAGUGCCAAAUCAGUACACUCACUUAUCAGGUCUGCUGGAUAUCUUCAAAUCAAAGAUUGGAUGUCCUUUAACUCCAUUGCCUCCAGUUAGUAUUGCUAUUCGAUUUACCUAUGUACUUCAAGAUUGGCAGCAGUAUUUUUGGCCUCAGCAACCUCCAGACAUAGAUGCCCUUGUAGGAGGAGAAGUUGGAGGCUUGGAGUUUGGCAAGUUACCAUUUGGUGCCUGCGAAGAUCCUAUUAGUGAACUCCAUUUAGCUACUACAUGGCCUCAUCUGACCGAAGGGAUCAUUGUGGAUAAUGAUGUUUAUUCUGAUUUGGAUCCUAUUCAAGCUCCACAUUGGUCUGUUAGAGUUCGAAAAGCUGAGAAUCCUCAGUGUUUGCUAGGUGAUUUUGUUACUGAAUUUUUUAAAAUUUGCCGUCGAAAGGAGUCAACUGAUGAGAUUCUUGGACGAUCUGCAUUUGAGGAAGAAGGCAAAGAAACUGCUGAUAUAACUCAUGCUUUGUCAAAAUUGACAGAGCCGGCAUCAGUUCCAAUUCAUAAAUUAUCAGUUUCAAAUAUGGUACACACUGCAAAGAAGAAAAUCCGAAAACACAGAGGUGUAGAGGAGUCACCGCUAAAUAAUGAUGUUCUUAAUACUAUUCUCCUGUUCUUAUUCCCUGAUGCUGUUUCUGAGAAACCAUUAGAUGGAACUACUUCAACAGAUAAUAAUAAUCCUCCAUCAGAGAGUGAAGACUAUAAUCUCUACAAUCAGUUCAAGUCUGCACCAUCUGACAGUUUAACAUACAAACUGGCUUUGUGUCUCUGUAUGAUCAAUUUUUACCAUGGAGGGUUGAAAGGAGUGGCACACCUCUGGCAGGAAUUUGUUCUUGAAAUGCGUUUCCGAUGGGAAAACAACUUUCUGAUUCCAGGAUUAGCAAGUGGACCCCCAGAUCUGAGGUGUUGUUUACUGCAUCAGAAACUACAGAUGUUAAAUUGUUGUAUUGAAAGAAAGAAGGCACGUGAUGAGGGGAAAAAGACAAGUGCUUCAGAUGUCACUAAUAUAUAUCCAGGGGAUGCUGGAAAAGCAGGAGACCACUUGGUGCCAGAUAAUCUAAAAGAAACAGAUAAGGAAAAGGGAGAGGUAGGAAAAUCUUGGGAUUCCUGGAGUGACAGCGAAGAAGAAUUUUUUGAAUGCCUAAGUGAUACUGAAGAACUUAAAGGAAAUGGACAAGAGAGUGGCAAGAAAGGAGGACCUAAGGAGAUGGCAAAUUUAAGGCCGGAAGGACGGCUCUAUCAGCAUGGGAAGCUUACACUGCUGCAUAAUGGAGAACCUCUCUACAUUCCAGUAACCCAGGAACCAGCACCUAUGACAGAAGAUCUGCUAGAAGAGCAGUCUGAAGUUUUAGCUAAAUUAGGUACAUCGGCAGAAGGGGCUCACCUCCGAGCACGCAUGCAGAGUGCCUGUCUGCUCUCAGAUAUGGAGUCUUUUAAGGCAGCUAAUCCAGGUUGCUCCCUGGAAGAUUUUGUGAGGUGGUAUUCACCCCGGGAUUAUAUUGAAGAGGAGGUGAUUGAUGAAAAGGGCAACGUGGUGCUGAAAGGAGAACUGAGUGCCCGGAUGAAGAUUCCAAGCAAUAUGUGGGUAGAAGCCUGGGAAACAGCUAAGCCAAUUCCUGCUAGAAGGCAAAGGAGACUCUUCGAUGAUACACGGGAAGCAGAAAAGGUGCUGCACUAUCUGGCAAUCCAGAAACCUGCAGACCUUGCUCGGCACCUGUUACCUUGUGUGAUUCAUGCAGCUGUACUCAAGGUAAAGGAAGAAGAAAGUCUCGAAAACAUUUCUUCAGUUAAGAAGAUCAUAAAGCAGAUAAUAUCCCAUUCCAGUAAAGUUUUGCACUUCCCCAAUCCAGAAGACAAGAAAUUGGAAGAAAUCAUUCACCAGAUUACUAAUGUGGAAGCUCUCAUUGCCAGAGCUCGGUCACUAAAAGCCAAGUUUGGAACUGAGAAAUGUGAACAGGAGGAGGAAAAGGAAGAUCUUGAAAGGUUUGUGAGUUGCCUGCUGGAGCAGCCUGAAGUGUUAGUCACCGGUGCAGGAAGAGGACAUGCUGGCAGGAUCAUUCACAAGCUGUUUGUGAAUGCCCAGAGGGCUGCAGCUAUGACUCCACCAGAGGAGGAAUUGAAGAGAAUGGGCUCCCCAGAGGAAAGAAGGCAGAACUCCGUGUCAGACUUCCCACCCGCUGCUGGCCGGGAAUUCAUUUUGCGCACCACUGUGCCGCGCCCUGCUCCCUACUCCAAAGCUCUGCCUCAGCGGAUGUACAGUGUUCUCACCAAAGAGGACUUUAGACUUGCAGUUAAAAUAAUCGAUGGGGAUGUGUAGCCCCCCGUGUGAGGAUGACAUCACCACAUUUCUAGUUUCAUGGAGCUCAAGAUGUCUUGUGUCUGUGUCGCUAGAUGGCCUCUGCUUGCUCCCCAGGUGUGUCCUGGUAGACAACUGCUCCCAGGAGCUGGCAUAGAAGCAAACCUGCAGGAAAAGCUGACCCACUCCAGGUGUGUGGAAGCUGCUGGCAGGAACCCAGCAAGGAUCCAGCUGGGUUGUAAUGGAAACAAUGCAACCAACAAUCCUUGAGCGAGCCGGGAUAGAUGUGGCCUCAUCACUGAAGAUUUCAUCUGAGACCUCUGCAAAUAUCCAAAUUGUAUAUGCUCUUAGAGCAGAUCAUUUUCUCACAGGGUGUCUAACCAAAGGAAAGGAAAUCAGCAUAUCAAAGAGAUAUCUGCACUCCCAUGUUGAUUGCAGCACUGUUCACAACAGCCAAGAUGUGGAAUCAACCAAAGUGUCCAUUGGCAGAUGAAUGGAUUAAAAAUGUGGUGCAUGG